ACUCCUACGGGAGGCAGCAGUGGGGAAUAUUGGACAAUGGGCGAAAGCCUGAUCCAGCCAUGCCGCAUGAGUGAAGAAGGCCUUUGGGUUGUAAAGCUCUUUUAGUGAGGAAGAUAAUGACGGUACUCACAGAAGAAGUCCUGGCUAACUCCGUGCCAGCAGCCGCGGUAAUACGGAGAGGGCUAGCGUUAUUCGGAAUUAUUGGGCGUAAAGGGCGCGUAGGCUGGUUAAUAAGUUAAAAGUGAAAUCCCGAGGCUUAACCUUGGAAUUGCUUUUAAAACUAUUAAUCUAGAGAUUGAAAGAGGAUAGAGGAAUUCCUGAUGUAGAGGUAAAAUUCGUAAAUAUUAGGAGGAACACCAGUGGCGAAGGCGUCUAUCUGGUUCAAAUCUGACGCUGAAGCGCGAAGGCGUGGGGAGCAAACAGGAUUAGAAACCCUGGUAGUCC
This 444-nucleotide ribosomal RNA is filed under the name Wolbachia endosymbiont of Aedes albopictus. RNAcentral describes it as "bacterial SSU rRNA". It matches the Rfam family "Bacterial small subunit ribosomal RNA", at positions 335 to 796 of the family's 1533-position model. The record is from RNAcentral. Lineage: Bacteria; Pseudomonadati; Pseudomonadota; Alphaproteobacteria; Rickettsiales; Anaplasmataceae.